This 497-nucleotide ribosomal RNA is filed under the name uncultured bacterium. RNAcentral describes it as "partial 16S ribosomal RNA". It matches the Rfam family "Bacterial small subunit ribosomal RNA", at positions 28 to 507 of the family's 1533-position model. The record is from RNAcentral.
GAUGAACGCUGGCGGCGUGCCUAAUACAUGCAAGUCGAGCGAACGGACGAGAAGCUUGCUUCUCUGAUGUUAGCGGCGGACGGGUGAGUAACACGUGGAUAACCUACCUAUAAGACUGGGAUAACUUCGGGAAACCGGAGCUAAUACCGGAUAAUAUUUUGAACCGCAUGGUUCAAAAGUGAAAGACGGUCUUGCUGUCACUUAUAGAUGGAUCCGCGCUGCAUUAGCUAGUUGGUAAGGUAACGGCUUACCAAGGCAACGAUGCAUAGCCGACCUGAGAGGGUGAUCGGCCACACUGGAAAUGAGACACGGUCCAGACUCCUAAGGGAGGCAGCAGUAGGGAAUCUUCCGCAAUGGGCGAAAGCCUGACGGAGCAACGCCGCGUGAGUGAUGAAGGUCUUCGGAUCGUAAAACUCUGUUAUUAGGGAAGAACAUAUGUGUAAGUAACUGUGCACAUCUUGACGGUACCUAAUCAGAAAGCCACGGCUAACUACGUG